This 406-nucleotide long non-coding RNA is filed under the name Athene cunicularia (burrowing owl). Its description in RNAcentral is "lncRNA (ENSACUG00000003534.1)". The record is from RNAcentral. Lineage: Eukaryota; Metazoa; Chordata; Aves; Strigiformes; Strigidae.
AAAAGCUGGUUCAUUUAGCAAAUCGCAACCUUGCCAAGUCCACAUUGGCCAUGAUUUUAUCUUGGCUCUUUCCAGGGUGAACAGGGAGAAUCAGGAGACGAUGGUGCCUCGGGGAUUCCUGGGGAGAAAGGAGAAAAGGGGGCCAAGGGAGUGCCUGGCUUGGGAGGCUUCAAAGGACAAAUGGGAUGGCCUGGGAAGACUGGAGCUGUGGGACCAGAUGGACCUCAAGGGCCACAGGGUGAACCAGGGCCACAGGGUCCACGAGGGAAAAGAGGGAGAACUCAGCUCUGCCUCAGGGGACCCCCAGGCGCGGACGGGCAAAAAGGAGAAAUGGUCAGUAUGGGGCUGAGCCAGUCUCACUUCCCAGUGAGGUUCCUCACCGCUCUGCAGCAGCACAGAGCUCUGC